RNAcentral lists this unclassified non-coding RNA (474 nucleotides) under Hevea brasiliensis (rubber tree). The record is from RNAcentral. Lineage: Eukaryota; Viridiplantae; Streptophyta; Magnoliopsida; Malpighiales; Euphorbiaceae.
UGUCAGUAUUUUUAUUCUCUACCAUGCAUACUCUGGAAAUAAUCAGUCCAAAGGCCUAUAUACAUUCUAAUCAACUUGAUCCAAAACUCGCCCUGACUUUCACUAUUUAUGUACUUCACAGUUGUCAUGCACAGUGUGGUCAACAUCAUCAUCAGAGUGGAUCCUGUAACAGUAUUAACUCACAAUAUCAUCAAGCCUAAACUUUCCAUCCCACCAAAUCUUUGCACUAAUGUUCUAGUUCAUUCUUCUGAUGCACGAAAGCAAACCUUCUCAAGUUGCAUUGGCCACUCUUCUCCAAGAAUCUUAGGGUUUAGUUCCAUUGUAAGCCGAAAAUCUAACAUGGAUACUGUAGUGGACCCAUUUGGUUUCUGAAAAUAUCUCACAGGCCGCACCCCAUUCAAACCAGAUAUGAAUCGAAUCUGUCCUUGACCUGUAUGUUUGUGUCCAGAUCUUGAACCAGCUAAAUCCAUACAG